This 305-nucleotide ribosomal RNA is filed under the name uncultured bacterium. Its description in RNAcentral is "bacterial SSU rRNA". It matches the Rfam family "Bacterial small subunit ribosomal RNA", at positions 337 to 659 of the family's 1533-position model. The record is from RNAcentral.
UCCUACGGGGCGCAGCAGUGGGGAAUAUUGCACAAUGGGGGGAACCCUGAUGCAGCAAUGCCGCGUGGGUGAAGAAGCACUCCGGUGCGUAAAGCCCUGUCAGCAGGGAAGAAAAUGACAGUACCUGGACAAGAAGCCCCGGCUAACUACGUGCCAGCAGCCGCGGUAAUACGUAGGGGGCAAGCGUUAUCCGGAUUUACUGGGUGUAAAGGGAGCGUAGACGGAGGAGCAAGUCUGAUGUGAAAAUCCGGGGCCCAACCCCGGAACUGCAUUGGAAACUGUUUAUCUCGCGUGUCGGAGAGGCA